UCUAAUAUGGCAGAAAAUUUAUGCAAUGAACUUAAAAUUCAUAUAUAAAGAAUAAUCUUUUUUUAGAA
This 68-nucleotide transfer RNA is filed under the name Tuberculatus cereus. RNAcentral describes it as "tRNA-Leu". It matches the Rfam family "tRNA". From Rfam's summary of the family: Transfer RNA (tRNA) molecules are approximately 80 nucleotides in length. Their secondary structure includes four short double-helical elements and three loops (D, anti-codon, and T loops). The record is from RNAcentral. Lineage: Eukaryota; Metazoa; Arthropoda; Insecta; Hemiptera; Aphididae.